CUAGGUGAUGCAUGCAAUGCAACUACUUGAGGUGAGAUGGGCUCAGUACUAUCCCAGACUAAUUAUUCUAGUUAUAUUCUAAAUUAAUAUUUUGAACUUUUGGUAAUUAUUAUUGUUAUUAAGAAAUCAUUUCGAACCAUGUAUUUUACCCCCACAAAAUUGUUUGAAGUUUUAUUAUUUCGCAGGUUAUGAUGUCAAUGAAAUUCAUUAGUGUUAAUUAAUUUGAUCUAUUUUCCGCAUUCAUGAUUUAAAAAGGCAAUUAAUGCUUCCACCAUAAGUUUAGAGUUUCUAAAUUUGUGGCAGU
RNAcentral lists this long non-coding RNA (304 nucleotides) under Olea europaea (common olive). RNAcentral describes it as "long non-coding RNA (OEUR_LNC014880)". Lineage: Eukaryota; Viridiplantae; Streptophyta; Magnoliopsida; Lamiales; Oleaceae. The record is from RNAcentral.